Molecule: long non-coding RNA, 1020 nt
Filed under: Homo sapiens (human)
Lineage: Eukaryota; Metazoa; Chordata; Mammalia; Primates; Hominidae
Description: HSALNT0322265
Source: RNAcentral
GGUCCCCCCGGGCGUCGAUGAAUGUGGGGUACCAUUCCUUGAUGAUGUGGUCAUGUUUGUAGUCGGCCUUAUUGUCCUUUAGAUGUUCCACGGUGUUCCGCUCGCUCUUCUCAUAGGCCUCCCGGGGCUUCCGGACAGACACCUUGCAUUCUCGGACCUUGUUGACGAUGAAUUCUUGGAUGAGAAACCUGAUAUCUUCCAUGAGUCAUCAUAAAGAAGUCUGAAUAUCUUGGUUGAGAGCUAGACUUUGGAAACAGAGAGACCCUGUAUAAUAACAGACUAAGAAGUAAGGAAGACAAGCCCAGCCAGUCCCACAACUAUUUCAUUAAUACCAGGUAAAGCAACAGACCUGCCAGUGAAGCAUCUUGGAUCCUUUAGCUUUAGGUGAGUUGUCUCAGAUUUCACCAUGUGAAGCAGACAUGCAUGAACUAUGCUUAUCUGCCUAAGCUGCAAAAUCAUGAGCAAAUAUAUUUUUGCCAUCUGAAGGAAUUGAUUGUGAUGAUUUGUUAUGUAACAAUAAACCAGUGAAAAUGUGAGUAUUCCAUGUAGGAAUAGAGGGAGUAGACAGUUAAGAUACAAUGAUAAAGGGCAUUCAUUCCAGAGGGAAGAGUGGAAAUAAAGGCAUAGAAGCAUGAAACUACUGUGUAUGCCUGAAUACAUUCCAGUAGCCUGUUAGUCAAAGUGGCUAGUGAUAAGAUGAUUAACUUGAAAAGGUUUUUUUUUUUUUUAAAGUAAAUUUUCUAGGAGUAAAGAGAUGACAUCUCAUCUCUGAAAAUUUAAUUGCUAAGAUUGUUGCUGAUACCACAACAAUUGAUAGAAAUACUGUAUCUUGCCAGUGACACGUUUUUGCAUGUGUGUGCAAAUAAUGUAAAAUAUCCAAUUCAGCAGGUAUUAUAAAGUGUAAAGUGUGGCCUAAAGACUAAACUUCUGGUCCAGUUUGUUGUGUGACUAUAAGCAAGUUACUUAAAUUUGCUGGUCUGCAGUAUGUUUUAAUCCAUAAAAUAAGGGAACUAAAAUAAA